This 200-nucleotide ribosomal RNA is filed under the name uncultured bacterium. RNAcentral describes it as "partial 16S ribosomal RNA". It matches the Rfam family "Bacterial small subunit ribosomal RNA", at positions 307 to 526 of the family's 1533-position model. The record is from RNAcentral.
GCCUCCCUCCGCCGCCAUCAGACUCCUACGGAGGCAGCAGUGGGGAAUCGUUGGACAAUGGGGGAAACCCUGGAUCCAGCCAUGCCGCGUGAGUGAUGAAGGCCCUAGGGUUGUAAAACUCUUUACGGCGGGGGACGGAGUAAUGACGGUACCCGCAGAAGAAGCUCCGGCUAACUUCGUGCCAGCAGCCGCGGUAAUAC